GACGAACGCUGGCGGCGUGCUUAACACAUGCAAGUCGAACGGAAAGGCCCUGCUUUUGUGGGGUGCUCGAGUGGCGAACGGGUGAGUAACACGUGAGUAACCUGCCCUUGACUUUGGGAUAACUUCAGGAAACUGGGGCUAAUACCGGAUAGGCGCUCCUGCUGCUUGGUGGGGGUUGGAAAGUUUCGGCGGUUGGGGAUGGACUCGCGGCUUAUCAGCUUGUUGGUGGGGUAGUGGCUUACCAAGGCUUUGACGGGUAGCCGGCCUGAGAGGGUGACCGGCCACAUUGGGACUGAGAUACGGCCCAGACUCCUACGGGAGGCAGCAGUGGGGAAUAUUGCACAAUGGGCGGAAGCCUGAUGCAGCAACGCCGCGUGCGGGAUGACGGCCUUCGGGUUGUAAACCGCUUUCGCCUGUGACGAAGCGUGAGUGACGGUAAUGGGUAAAGAAGCACCGGCUAACUACGUG
RNAcentral lists this ribosomal RNA (468 nucleotides) under uncultured bacterium. RNAcentral describes it as "partial 16S ribosomal RNA". It matches the Rfam family "Bacterial small subunit ribosomal RNA", at positions 28 to 507 of the family's 1533-position model. The record is from RNAcentral.